GAGUUUGAUCAUGGCUCAGAUUGAACGCUGGCGGCAUGCCUUACACAUGCAAGUCGAACGGAGUAUUCACGAAAGAGGUUUCGGCCAAUGGAGUGAAUUACUUAGUGGCGGACUGGUGAGUAACGCGUGAGGAACCUGCCUUUCAGUGGGGGACAACAGUUGGAAACGACUGCUAAUACCGCAUAACACAUUUGAGGGACAUCCCUUGAAAUGUCAAAGAUUUAUUGCUGAAAGAUGGCCUCGCGUCUGAUUAGCUAGUUGGUGAGGUAACGGCCCACCAAGGCGACGAUCAGUAGCCGGACUGAGAGGUUGACCGGCCACAUUGGGACUGAGAUACGGCCCAGACUCCUACGGGAGGCAGCAGUGGGAAUA
RNAcentral lists this ribosomal RNA (372 nucleotides) under bacterium enrichment culture clone ALO1_GLFRUDD03FTCFN. Its description in RNAcentral is "bacterial SSU rRNA". It matches the Rfam family "Bacterial small subunit ribosomal RNA", at positions 9 to 363 of the family's 1533-position model. The record is from RNAcentral.